RNAcentral lists this long non-coding RNA (223 nucleotides) under Homo sapiens (human). RNAcentral describes it as "non-protein coding lnc-RPL7A-3:1". The record is from RNAcentral. Lineage: Eukaryota; Metazoa; Chordata; Mammalia; Primates; Hominidae.
AUGAAGCCCCUGCUCCUGGCCGUCAGCCUCGGCCUCAUUGCUGCCCUGCAGGCCCACCACCUCCUGGCCUCAGACGAGGAGAUUCAGGAUGUCAGGGACGUGGUAUCUGAAGGCCAUGACGGUGGACAGGGAGUUCCCUGAGAUGAAUCUGGAAUCGGUGACACCCAUGACCCUCACGACCCUGGAAGGGGGCAACCUGGAAGCCAAGGUCACCAUGCUGUGA